GUUGAUAGUGGAUGUAGCACUAAGUGGAGGAUCGAGAUUUCAGGAGUCUUUAUUCAUUAUCAAUAACUUUGCAAACAGUGACAGACCUAUGAAGAAUUAUUCCCUAAUGGAUGUUCAGCCUUCAAGAAUAUUGCUCCCAACACUGAUGAAGAAGGAGCAAUGAAAGAGGAUGCUGGAAUGUUGGAUGUCCAUUAUAGUGAAGUAUACAGAUAGAAUCAUAUUCUCCAUAGUGCCAUUUUAUGUUUCGGUUUAUAUAAUAGGGCUUCUUCCUCGUGCCCUGCU
Long non-coding RNA from Budorcas taxicolor (takin), 282 nucleotides. RefSeq lists it as uncharacterized. The record is from RefSeq and is a predicted model, not a curated record. NCBI's taxonomy places the organism in Eukaryota, Metazoa, Chordata, Mammalia, Artiodactyla, Bovidae. The transcript is spliced from 3 exons.